Molecule: long non-coding RNA, 1755 nt
Organism: Helianthus annuus (common sunflower)
Lineage: Eukaryota; Viridiplantae; Streptophyta; Magnoliopsida; Asterales; Asteraceae
Exons: 4
Source: RefSeq, a predicted model, not a curated record
AUAUAUAUCUAUACUACUUUAUAAAACAUAUUAGAAGGAUAGAAUGGUCUUUUGCCACUUUACAAGUCUUUAAAGCCCAAUGUACACACCUGUUAAGCACAAGUGUUGAAAACUUGUUUUCCAUGUUGAAAACUUGUUUUCCACCUGGUACCCACGCGGAUCAUAUAAUGGUUACCUUGACCCGUUUUUAGUUUAUGGAUCCUAUAUAAAGUUUCAUUCAAUCUAUCUAUCCACAUAUUUCGUUUCAUCCAUCCAGACACUCACGUUUCUCUACAAACCCUAACCCUAACCUUCAUUUCCUCCACCGCUCCUCCACCGCUCCUCCACAACUCCUCCAUCGUUGAAGACAUCAGAUCCGACACCAGAUCCGACACAACAUCGAUUUCUAUGGCUUCUUUCCCGGUGGCUUUACAAGAUCCAACACUAUCUCAAGAGAUCCGACACUAUUUCAGGAUCUUUCUUUUGGUUGUGGGUUCGUCAACGAUGGUGCUUGUGGUAGAUCUGUUCUUUGUAGUAGAUCUGUUCUUUGUAGUAGAUCUGUUCUCGGUUAACGAAUUUGACUGUGGUUAACGAGGUUUAACGAGGGUUAUUUGUAGUAGAUCUGUUCUUUGUAGUAGAUCUGUUCUUUGUAGUAGAUCUGUUAUUUGUAGUAGAUCUGUUAUUUGUAGUAGAUCUGUUUUUUGUGGUAGAUCUGUUCUUUGUAGUAGAUCUGUUCUUUGUAGUAGAUCUGUUCUUUGUAAGUAGACCUGUUCUUGAUUUUUUGUUUAAAUUUAUAGAAUUUGACUGUGGUUAACGAGGGUUUAUUUUUUUGUUUAAUUGUUUAAAUUUUUUGUAGUAGAUCUGUUCUUUGUAGUAGAUCUGUUGUUUGUAGUAGAUCUGUUCUUUGUAAGUAGAUCUGUUCUUGAUUUUUUGUUUAAAUUUAUAGAAUUUGACUGUGGUUAACGAGGGUUUAUUUUUUUGUUUAAAUUUUUUGUUUAUUAACCAGGGUUUAUUUUUUUUGUUUAAAUUUUUUGUUUAUUUACUAGGGUUUAUUUGACUGUGGUUUAAUUUUUUUGGUUACUGGUUUGGAUAUUUUGUCUGUGAUUGUUAGGGAGUUCAUUAAAAAUGUUUUUUAGUUGGAUAAGUCCAAACUAGGGUUACUGGUUUAGUUGUUGAAAAAAUUAUUUGAAUGUUAUUUAAAUUUUUUAUUAAUAUUUAUAUUUAUUUGAAUGUUGUCUAUGAGGGACAUGGUGGACCGGAGACGUCAAGAUUCGUUAACGAGAAUCUGUUUGCUAAUCUCAAGAGAUUUGCGUCUGAGGAUCAAGAUAUGUCUGCGAAUGUUAUCAAGAUAUAGCGUAACCGGUCUGACAUUCAAGAGGUGUAUUACAGUGAAGAGACACAUAAGUUUUCAGUGUCAGCAAUAGAGGAAAGUGUGAAGUUAGAAGGAAGAAUGACCUUUCCUCUUUGGACAGCACUUACAUAGUUGAUCAUGUGUUUUUCUGUGAACGGUUUUAUGAUCCCGAUAAGGGAUCUCUCAAGCAGGUAGUUUCACCUGUCCAUUCUAUGUCCAUUCUGAAAGUGUUUGAGGCUGUGAUGCAAAAGCUGAGCUUGUGUUCUUAAUCUGUCUGAACUGAAAGUGUCGAGUCUAUGAUGCAUAAGCUGAGCUUGUGUUCUUAAUAUGUCUGAACUGAAACUGUUAAGGCUAUGAUGCAUAAGCUAAGCCUGUGAGGUUACAUAUGUGUUUCUUGUGCUUAAAACACUUUUACAUCAUGCUUU